Molecule: ribosomal RNA, 553 nt
Filed under: uncultured archaeon
Lineage: Archaea
Description: bacterial SSU rRNA
Rfam family: Archaeal small subunit ribosomal RNA
Source: RNAcentral
CGGGGUGCAGCAGGCGCGAAAACUUUACAAUGCGGGAAACCGUGAUAAGGGGACACCGAGUGCCAGCAUCAUAUGCUGGCUGUCCAGGUGUGUAAAAUACACCUGUCAGCAAGGGCCGGGCAAGACCGGUGCCAGCCGCCGCGGUAACACCGGCGGCCCGAGUGGUGAUCGUGAUUAUUGGGUCUAAAGGGUCCGUAGCCGGUUUGGUCAGUCCUCCGGGAAAUCUGACGGCUCAACCGUUAGGCUUUCGGGGGAUACUGCCAGGCUUGGAACCGGGAGAGGUAAGAGGUACUACAGGGGUAGGAGUGAAAUCUUGUAAUCCCUGUGGGACCACCUGUGGCGAAGGCGUCUUACCAGAACGGGUUCGACGGUGAGGGACGAAAGCUGGGGGCGCGAACCGGAUUAGAUACCCGGGUAGUCCCAGCCGUAAACGAUGCUCGCUAGGUGUCAGGCAUGGCGCGACCGUGUCUGGUGCCGCAGGGAAGCCGUGAAGCGAGCCACCUGGGAAGUACGGCCGCAAGGCUGAAACUUAAAGGAAUUGGCGGGGGAGCAC